Molecule: small nuclear RNA, 105 nt
Organism: Macaca fascicularis (crab-eating macaque)
Lineage: Eukaryota; Metazoa; Chordata; Mammalia; Primates; Cercopithecidae
Source: Ensembl
AUGCUCAUUUCAGCAGCACAUAUGCUAAAAAUUGGAAUGAUACAGAGAAUACCAGGGCUCCUCGACCAGGAUGACACGUCAAUUCAUGGAGCAUUCCAUAUUUUU